Molecule: ribosomal RNA, 233 nt
Filed under: uncultured Sphingobacteriales bacterium
Lineage: Bacteria; Pseudomonadati; Bacteroidota; Sphingobacteriia; Sphingobacteriales
Description: partial 16S ribosomal RNA
Rfam family: Bacterial small subunit ribosomal RNA
Source: RNAcentral
GCCACCGUAAGGUGAGAGGAAGGUGGGAGUGACGUCAAAUCAGCACGGCCCUUACUGUCCAGGGCUACACACGUGUUACAAUGGCCGGCACAGAGGGCAGCUACCUGGUGACAGGAUGCUAAUCUCGAAAACCGGUCUCAGUUCGGAUCGAAGUCUGCAACUCGACUUCGUGAAGCUGGAUUCGCUAGUAAUCGCGCAUCAGCCAUGGCGCGGUGAAUACGUUCCCGGGCCUU